CCAUCGAUUGUUUUCGAAAAGCAUGGAUGGUUUGAAAAAACUUAAAACCAUCGAUAGUGCCAUCGAUGGUUUUCCAGCUCUAGUUUUAAUCCAUUUCUGACGGUCUGACGAAGCAGUGAAAAGUUUUUUUUGUGGUUGGCCAUCAAAAAGUGGGAAAAUAAGAUUCAAAUUAUCAUUGAGGCACUGGAAAAUUCAGGAAAAUCACCCGGAAGCGCUUUCGUCGGUGGAUUCCCAAAAAAUGGAUAAAAACCCGAACCUAGAAAUGAAAAGAUGGCAUUCUUUCAUAGAAAGUUUCAUCCAAAAAUAAUAUAUAAGCCCGGAACAACAAAUGUAGUAGCUGACGCUUUAUCUCGAAUAAAAAUAAAUAAUAUUAAAAACAGUUGCCAUCAACUAGAUCAAAAAGGGGAAUAAAUGAGUUAG
Molecule: long non-coding RNA, 420 nt
Organism: Drosophila mauritiana
Lineage: Eukaryota; Metazoa; Arthropoda; Insecta; Diptera; Drosophilidae
Exons: 3
Source: RefSeq, a predicted model, not a curated record